This 589-nucleotide ribosomal RNA is filed under the name uncultured bacterium. RNAcentral describes it as "partial 16S ribosomal RNA". It matches the Rfam family "Bacterial small subunit ribosomal RNA", at positions 355 to 1375 of the family's 1533-position model. The record is from RNAcentral.
UGGGGAAUUUUGGACAAUGGGCGAAAGCCUGAUCCAGCAAUGCCGCGUGUGUGAAGAAGGCCUUCGGGUUGUAAAGCACUUUUGUCCGGAAAGAAAUCCUUGGCUCUAAUACAGUCGGGGGAUGACGGUACCGGAAGAAUAAGCACCGGCUAACUACGUGCCAGCAGCCGCGGUAAUACGUAGGGUGCAAGCGUUAAUCGGAAUUACUGGACGUAAAGCGUGCGCAGGCGGUUUGCUAAGACCGAUGUGAAAUCCCCGGGCUCAACCUGGGAACUGCAUUGGUGACUGGCAGGCUAGAGUAUGGCAGAGGGGGGUAGAAUUCCACGUGUAGCAGUGAAAUGCGUAGAGAUGUGGAGGAAUACCGAUGGCGAAGGCAGCCCCCUGGGCCAAUACUGACGCUCAUGCACGAAAGCGUGGGGAGCAAACAGGAUUAGAUACCCUGGUAGUCCACGCCCUAAAACGAUGUCAACUAGUUGUUGGGGGAUUCAUUUCCUUAGUAACGUAGCUAACGCGUGAAGUUGACCGCCUGGGGAGUACGGUCGCAAGAUUAAAACUUCAAAUGGAAUUGACGGGGUCAUAGCUGUUUCCU